Molecule: long non-coding RNA, 661 nt
Filed under: Mus caroli (Ryukyu mouse)
Lineage: Eukaryota; Metazoa; Chordata; Mammalia; Rodentia; Muridae
Description: lncRNA (MGP_CAROLIEiJ_G0003245.1)
Source: RNAcentral
AGAGAGGUUAGAGGACCGGAUGUUGCCAUAACCGUGUGAGUGUCCCCAGUGUUGUGCCAAUUCAUAACUCGGGCCGCUAAGUGAGUUAAUACGAAUUCUGAGCUUGAGCGUUGCUGAGGAUCUCUUCCAGUGCUUGGAAAUGACGUAAAGGCUCUCUUGGAGCAUCAUUUGAACAAAUUAAGUCAAAUUACCAAAAGCACCUGCUGGGCUCCUGUAAGACGACGUCAUGAGUUCUAAAGGAAAGUAUGUAGACUUGGACAGACUCAGCUCCACAGCAAAUAACGUUUGAAGGAAAGUUUCAAGAGCUCCUAUAAUUGUACCUUCCUGAAAACAGAAGGUUCUGAAAUCUCCCACAAAACACCUGUUAAGUUUGGGCAUUAUAUUUAGGGAAAACAUUUUGAAAUAUGCAGCAGUGGAAACAACAAAGGACUUAAUGUCAAAAGACCUGCUUCAAGUCUGGUUUAAAUAAUCUUGCUUAUACACUUGGGGACUCUUAUGGAAGUGUUGGGGGGAGGCUUGAGGACCUCAAAGGGGAUAGGAACUCCACAGGAAGACCAACAGAGCCAACUAACCUGGAGCCCUGGGAGCUCUUAGAGACUGAGCCACCAACCAAAGAGCAUACACGAGCUGCAACAAGGCCCCAGGCACGCAGCUCAGUCUC